GGAGGGUGAGCCAGUUCUUGGGUACUUGCAUCACAUUCAUUAUUGCACAUGUAGGGGUUUCCCAUUGCACAGAAAGUCUCAGGAGGAUCUCCACACGUUAUAUCUGGGGGAUCCAGAGUCACUCUUACGUAUUUGAUCAUGUCUCUGGCUUCUGGCUGGCAGGCCAUGUAAUCCCAUACUUUUCCUUCUUCUGUGUAAAUCUGAGUCUUACACACAUCGUAAUGUCCCCACACGGAAGGAUAAUGCUGCAUCAUGGAAGAGACGGUGACCCAGAGGGCGUGAAGUGACAGAAAUCUCGACAAAUACAUUUCUAAAUCCUUUUAGAUCACCUUCGUGAGGAUGCUCAGUACUGACGUACGUUCAGUCUAUAGAUUAUACAUAUAUGUACAUAUGCAUGUAUAUAUUUCAUAAAAUAGGUUCCAACUCAAACGUGAGGCAUUAGGAUACAGCGUUUGCUUUAUUACGUUGAAGACUUUGGUAGAAGCCACACAGACCCCAGUGACAGCCUUUCACAGCAACGUAGAGCUUGUCCUUUG
Molecule: long non-coding RNA, 536 nt
Filed under: Gallus gallus (chicken)
Lineage: Eukaryota; Metazoa; Chordata; Aves; Galliformes; Phasianidae
Source: RNAcentral